RNAcentral lists this ribosomal RNA (297 nucleotides) under uncultured Anaerolineaceae bacterium. RNAcentral's name for it is "partial 16S ribosomal RNA". It matches the Rfam family "Bacterial small subunit ribosomal RNA", at positions 1074 to 1382 of the family's 1533-position model. The record is from RNAcentral. Lineage: Bacteria; Bacillati; Chloroflexota; Anaerolineae; Anaerolineales; Anaerolineaceae.
GUUCGGUUAAGUCCGCUAACGAGCGCAACCCUCGUCGUAUGUUAUAUGUGUCAUACGAGACUGCCGGUAAAAGCCGGAGGAAAGGUGAGGAUGAUGUCAAGGUCAGCAUGACCUUUAUAUCCAGGGCUACACACACGCUACAAUGGUCUGUACAAUGGGUAGCCAAGCCGCGAGGCGGAGCCAAUCCUGAAAGCAGGCCUCAGUUCAGAUUGCAGUCUGCAACUCGACUGCAUGAAGCCGGAGUUGCUAGUAACCGCAGGUCAGCAAUACUGCGGUGAAUACCGGUUCCCGGGUCUU